RNAcentral lists this small RNA (112 nucleotides) under Yersinia pseudotuberculosis. RNAcentral describes it as "RtT sRNA". It matches the Rfam family "RtT RNA". From Rfam's summary of the family: This family represents a bacterial cis-regulatory element known as RtT RNA. RNAcentral also lists the same sequence under 1 other name. Lineage: Bacteria; Pseudomonadati; Pseudomonadota; Gammaproteobacteria; Enterobacterales; Yersiniaceae. The record is from RNAcentral.
GAUAAGUGCUUGGAGGGAAGGUGAGAGCCUUCAAUAAGGUCCGAGCCGAGCGAGACACCAAGCAAAGCAUCGGCCCGAAAGGUGAGUGAUGGAUAAUCCUUCGCUGUCACCA